CUGAAGGGUGCGGUCAUCAACCCAAGGAGUUGAGGAACUUUUAUCUGGACUAUGUGCAGAAAAGCAGUGUGACAGAGAGACAGAGCCACACUCUGGAAGGCAUCCUGCAGUUCAUGUCCUACCCAACAGGGACAAGCAGAGAGGAGCUCAAGCAUACUGAACUCACCAAGCACCCUGGCUUGGCAAACGCCAUAUCACCAUUCAUCAGCUAGUCUGACUUCCGCUUUGCUACCAGGCUG
This 239-nucleotide long non-coding RNA is filed under the name Fukomys damarensis (Damara mole-rat). Its description in RNAcentral is "lncRNA (ENSFDAG00000030319.1)". The record is from RNAcentral. Lineage: Eukaryota; Metazoa; Chordata; Mammalia; Rodentia; Bathyergidae.